GAUCAUGGCUCAGAUUGAACGCUGGCGGCAGGCCUAACACAUGCAAGUCGAGCGGUAGCACAGAGAGCUUGCUCUCGGGUGACGAGCGGCGGACGGGUGAGUAAUGUCUGGGAAACUGCCUGAUGGAGGGGGAUAACUACUGGAAACGGUAGCUAAUACCGCAUAACGUCGCAAGACCAAAGAGGGGGGACCUUCGGGCCUCUUGCCAUCAGAUGUGCCCAGAUGGGAUUAG
This 232-nucleotide ribosomal RNA is filed under the name uncultured bacterium. RNAcentral's name for it is "partial 16S ribosomal RNA". It matches the Rfam family "Bacterial small subunit ribosomal RNA", at positions 15 to 244 of the family's 1533-position model. The record is from RNAcentral.